UUUUGGGUUAGGUGGGCUCUAAGCAAUGACCGGCGUCUUUAUUCAAAGAGGGCAGGAGGCGGGUGCGGUGGGAUGCACCUGCAGUCCCAGGUCCCCGGGAGGCUGAGCCAGGAGGAUCGCUUCAGCCCAGGAGCUGGAGCCCAGCCCGGGCCACACAGUGAGCCACUGUCUCUGAAUAAAAAGCUAGGAGGAGGCAGAGGAGACAGCUGAGCCAGUGGCUUCUCCAGAGCCGUGAGAGAAUUCGCCUCUGUCGUUUUAAGCCACCAAAUGUGUGCAGACAGCCCUGGGGGUUCAUCCAGUGCCUAAAAUUUCCCUUUGCUGGGUGCUUCCCGUCUUUACAAGGUGCCCCGUGUGAAGUGAACGCUGAUAGGAGGAUAAUACUAAGUUGAGAAAACAAAACGCUUCAGGACCUAAGUGUGCCGGAGAAAACACGGCCGGGAGAACAGGUUGGACUGGUUUUCUCAUGAAUCUCAAUGACUUUUAUCCUAACCAGGUUGAGUUUUUUUUCCCGGUACCGGGGAUAAACCCGGGGGUGCUCUGCCCCUGAGAUCCAUUCCCAACCCUUUUUUCAAAUUUUGAGACAGAGUCUUGCAAAUCUCUUAGACGGACCUCAAACCUGCAGCCCUCCUGCCUCAGGUGCUGGGAUUGCAGGCCUGCACCAGCACCCCGGGCUCUGGCCUGGGUGAAUUUUAAGGUUCACAGACACAGGGAGAACAUGGCAGGCGCACCGUGCGGCCUAUGAGGCCCUGCGCCAGGCCCACGGGAAAGCCGGUGAGUCAGCUGCCCUCUCUAAGAGCGUUCACCUCCGCCCGGGGUGUAAUGGGAGAAGCCAGUCGUUAGCCAAGGCGGAGGGGCCCUAAAAUGCCAUCCUCGGAAUGCUUUCAUCAGGUCCCAGUGGGUCCAUCGUCCGCCCACCUCAGGUCUAAGACGGCGGGUGUUGCUGAAGACUGAGGACCACAAGCACUCCAGGCUCCUGAAGAAAAGUGAAUCCCAGUCAGCAGAGUGGUGGUGAACUCGGGACGUACACUGCCUGAGCAACCAGCCGUGCCCGGCUCCCUCGCGCUGGCCAGUUCGGACCUGUUGAUCUUCUUCCUUGUGCAACUGUGCCAGCCUCCCACCGCCACCCUCCGCACCCGCACCCGCGCUCACGUGAAUGGCGGGGUCCUCCCUGGAGCUCAGCACUCACGGCCCCACGGCACAACUCAGGACAAUAUAGACUUAGAGCGGUGUGAUCUCCAGGGAGGGCCACGCUCAACCUCAGGGUCUGUGUGGGACGCUUUGAACACUUCCCCAAAUAUCCCUGGCCUCUGCCUCACCCAGCGUCAUAGAAAGCGGUGGUCAGGGUGUCCUGAUCACCAACCUCCCUCCGCCCGGCCCCCAGGCACUCAACUUUUGAAGCUGAGCAGAGGGCCGUCACUUAAUUGUCCCAGACAUGAAAUAACCAGGAGCUAUGUCUGUUCUCGGCCUUUGAACAGGCAGGGCCAAGGCUAUGACUCAGUCUGCUGGGGAAUCCAGAGGCCAGGACCAGAGCCGGGCAUGGUGGUACACGCCUGUAAUCCCAGCACUCAGGAGGCUGAGGCAGGAGGAUUGUUGCGAGUUUG
This is a long non-coding RNA of Chinchilla lanigera (long-tailed chinchilla), 1601 nucleotides long. RefSeq lists it as uncharacterized. The record is from RefSeq and is a predicted model, not a curated record. NCBI's taxonomy places the organism in Eukaryota, Metazoa, Chordata, Mammalia, Rodentia, Chinchillidae. The transcript is spliced from 3 exons.